RNAcentral lists this long non-coding RNA (374 nucleotides) under Zonotrichia albicollis (white-throated sparrow). RNAcentral describes it as "lncRNA (ENSZALG00000004416.1)". Lineage: Eukaryota; Metazoa; Chordata; Aves; Passeriformes; Passerellidae. The record is from RNAcentral.
AUUCAAGGCCACGCAUGCCUUCCUAGGCUUUGUCACUUGUUUUGAAGCCCAUGUUCUUCUUCAGGAAAACAUAAUCACAGCUUUUCCACUUGAUUCCUUCCAGAGAAGACAUGCUUAAAAGCCAGAAAGAAUUCUUCUUAAAUUGUUUGCAUGUUGGUGGCAACAGAGAUGGAAGACCAAAAAAAAUAAAGAAAAGAUCCACAGUAAAUGUUGAAAAUGGGAUCCAUCCAGUGUGUGGCAUGGAAAAUAAGGCUGCAAGCACCACUAGGGAGAUCUCCAGUUGGGUGACUGCAGCAUUUCAAGUCAGAAGAGUUUACAGAGCACCUCAAGAGGAAGCACAUCUAUGGCUCCAUCUGCAUUUGGAGGAGCCCUAA